RNAcentral lists this ribosomal RNA (253 nucleotides) under uncultured bacterium. RNAcentral's name for it is "partial 16S ribosomal RNA". It matches the Rfam family "Bacterial small subunit ribosomal RNA", at positions 524 to 776 of the family's 1533-position model. The record is from RNAcentral.
UACGUAGGGUGCGAGCGUUGUCCGGAAUUAUUGGGCGUAAAGAGCUCGUAGGCGGCCUGUCGCGUCGGUUGUGAAAGCCCGGGGCUUAACCCCGGGUCUGCAGUCGAUACGGGCAAACUAGAAUUCGGUAGGGGAGACUGGAAUUCCUGGUGUAGCGGUGAAAUGCGCAGAUAUCAGGAGGAACACCGGUGGCGAAGGCGGGUCUCUGGGCCGAUAUUGACGCUGAGGAGCGAAAGCGUGGGGAGCGAACAGG